RNAcentral lists this unclassified non-coding RNA (17 nucleotides) under synthetic construct. The record is from RNAcentral.
CCUCCCUUACAAGGAGG